This is a small nucleolar RNA of Rattus norvegicus (Norway rat), 126 nucleotides long. Ensembl annotates it as small nucleolar RNA SNORA40. Lineage: Eukaryota; Metazoa; Chordata; Mammalia; Rodentia; Muridae. The record is from Ensembl.
AGCACUUGUGUGUGCUUUUGCCAACUGCUGGACAAAAGAAUGAAAGACAGGUGCAAAAAUAAAUCCUCCUUUGCAACCCGGAACCCAUUGUUCAGUAAGAGUUUUGAUACAUAUAAAAGGAAUAUG